This is an RNA transcript of Rhinolophus ferrumequinum (greater horseshoe bat), 3110 nucleotides long. It is a transcript of the gene named small nuclear RNA activating complex polypeptide 3, with no coding region annotated. The record is from RefSeq and is a predicted model, not a curated record. Lineage: Eukaryota; Metazoa; Chordata; Mammalia; Chiroptera; Rhinolophidae. The transcript has 10 exons.
GCUUUUGCAGGGAAGGGAGUGGGGCGAACAUGGCUGAACGCAGCCGGGGCGAUCCAACGUGCAGCGGGGUGGGCAGCCGGCAGGACACGAUCCCCAGCAGUGGUGGCUGCAACUUUCCAGAGUACGAGCUUCCCGAGCUAAACACACGCGCUUUCCACGUGGGCGCCUUCGGGGAGCUGUGGCGUGGCCGGCUACGCGGACAAGGGGACUUAUCGCUGAAGGAGCCGCCGGCGUCGGUGCUGCCUGGGUGCGGAGGGGUCGCCGACUCCAGCCGGGAGGAUGCCGCGGUGACCCGGGAUCUGGGCUGCAGCCUGGAGGCGGCGGCCGAGCUGAGGGCAGUUUGCGGCCUUGAUAAACUGAAGUGCCUUGAGGAAGCUGAGGAUCCAGAAGUCAUCCCAGAGGACACUGACCUAGUGACGUUGGGAGUUCGAAAGAAGCUUUUGGAACAUCGGGAAGAAACCAUAACGAUAGAUCGGGUCUGCAGACAAGAAACAUUUGCUUAUGAGAUGGAGUCACAUGCCAUAGGGAAAAAGCCUGAAAAUCCAGCAGACAUGAUUGAAGAAGGGGAGCUUAUCCUAUCUGUGAAUAUCUUGUACCCGGUUAUAUUUCAUAAGCACAAAGAACACAAACCAUACCAGACGGUGCUAGUGCUGGGCAGUCAGAAGCUCACGGAACUCAGGGAUGCGAUUUGCUGUGUCAGCGACCUCCAGAUCGGGGGGGAAUUCAGCAGCACCCCCGACCAAGCCCCUGAGCACGUCAGCAGAGACUUGUACAAAUCAGCCUUCUUUUAUUUUGAAGGAACAUUUUACAAUGAUAAAAGAUACCCUGAGUGCAGAGAUUUGAGCAGAACAAUUAUUGAGUGGUCAGAGUCCCAUGAUAGAGGCUAUGGAAAGUUUCGCACUGCUCAAAUGGAAGACUUCACCUUCAAUGACUUGCAUAUUAAACUGGGUUUUCCCUACUUAUACUGUCACCAGGGAGACUGUGAACAUGUUGUUGUCAUUACUGAUAUAAGGCUUGUGCAUCGUGAUGACUGCUUGGAUAGGACACUUUAUCCCCUUCUUAUCAAGAAGCAUUGGCUAUGGACCAGAAAAUGUUUUGUUUGUAAAAUGUACACAGCCAGAUGGGUGACGAACAAUGACAGUUUUGCACCAGAGGACCCAUGUUUCUUUUGUGACGUUUGCUUCCGAAUGCUCCACUAUGAUUCAGAAGGCAACAAACUGGGGGAAUUUCUCGCUUAUCCUUAUGUUGAUCCUGGAACCUUUAAUUAAUAACCAACAACAGAAGUGUACCCUUGUGAAAUUAAAGGUCCUCUUGGAUGGUUCCUUUAUUUCCAAAUGCCAGAGGAACAGGAUCAACCUGAAACAAUCAUGUAAAGUUACCCCCAUAUGCCCCGGAAGAAAUUUCAAAUCACAGGUUUUUUUAAUAAUUUGUAUUUACAUGCUUAGAAGUAUAUUAUGUUGAUAUUUAUUUUGAAGGCUAGUUAUUUAGUGCUUUUGCCCAUUUUUAAAUGUCCUUUAUCUUACUGAGUUGUAGGAGUGCUUUUAUGUAUUCUGAAUACAAAUCCUGUCAGGCACAUGUAUUCUGAUUUUCUACCAGUCUGUCACUUGCCUAAUCAUUGUGUCCAGAAUGCUUUUUGCUAAUCAUUAGCAAAAUUCAGUUAAUGAUACUUCAAGUGGUGGAAGUGUUUUGGAAAUUCUUUGAAGAAUGUGAGAGCUACACCGUGUACCAUGAAGCUUCCAAGGUUAUAUUUAAAUUCAACUGAAUUCCACAUUCCCUGGAUGGUUAAGAACAUUUACCAUAUAAAUCAAGCCUAUAAGCCCUUGUAUUUAAAAGGGUUACAGUGAAAUGUUUUAUGGACUUAAAUGUAGGACUUACUCAGUUAAGUCAACUGGUGUGUAGGUGACAAGCAUGUUUUUAGUAUGUCUGGUGGUGGUCUCACUGAUUGAGUCAAUACAUCGGAGGAGCAAUGUAAAGAACUAAGAGGUCCCUCCACGGCUGCUUUAUUUAUUCCUAAAUUUUUACUUUCAAGUUUCCAAUGAUGCUAAAUAGAACUGAUUUAAAGUUCUGCUGGAAAACCAUAAAUUUAUUCCAAUUCUUCACAGUUCCACAGGUAAAAAUAAAUUUUUGCUGUAUUUUUAAACUGCAUUCCUUACAGAUCUUAAUUAGUAUAGAAGGGUCUUUUUACUUUUAUUCAGUUUCAUCAUUUCAUAUUCUCAAAACAGAAAAUUCUAGAAUUAUCAUAACGGAAGCAGUAAUCCAUGUGUGGUGCCAAUCAGUUCAUUUUAGUGGAUAAAGCAUACUGCAACUGAAAUUCUUGUUUUAUCAUUUAUUGAGAAUAUUAUCCUGCUGAAUAAUAUUAACUUUUUCACCAGCUGUUUUACAAAGGCUCGGAUAUCUGUUAUUUCCUGGUGUAAUCUAGAGUGGAAAGGCGAACCAGGUUACUCCCAGAAUUUACCAAUGUGUUGUGUGUCGGUUAUACAGGUCUCCCACUGAAAGAAACUCCUUUCAAAUAGGCAUAAAAAAUGGCUUGAAUCAAGGGAUUUUUACAGCUGCGAAAUUCAAUGUUAAACAUCACAUGACUUAAAUUAUGUAUUCUACCUAAUGAAAAGCAGCUAUAAAAAUGAUGUCGUGAACUUACCCAUCACCAUCCUGUGUAUGUAAAAAAAAUUAGAUUUUGAUAUAACAGUGGAUGGAAAUGCACAAAAUCACUACCUAGAAAAGCAAUACCUAUUUCCUUGAACAUCUUUUCUAGACUUCAGUUCCCUUUAAGGCUAACUGAUCUCUCCCCCAAUCACAUCACAAUGUCUUUAUCAUCUCCAAGGCUGGAGAAUCACAUAGCACAAAUAAUGAACACAUUUCUGCCUAUAUGGCAGCUUCUUCAUUUCUUAAGGUGUAAUUAUGGGUUUGCUAUUUCCAAUAGAUGAUCCUUUCUCUGGCCAAUGGGACUAAGUUGUUAGUGAAGCCCUCACAGAGCCCUGUAAAAGCCUUGCUCUUGUAUAGGCCACCUCAUCUUGACCUGACACGUUCAACCAGGUAAGUGUGUGUGGGUACACUACAAUCAAUGUAUCAUCCUACUAUUUGAAACCACAGGCUACAAUAGCAAUUACAGG